This 150-nucleotide small nuclear RNA is filed under the name Suricata suricatta (meerkat). Its description in RNAcentral is "U4 spliceosomal RNA (ENSSSUG00005014936.1)". It matches the Rfam family "U4 spliceosomal RNA". Rfam says of the family: U4 small nuclear RNA (U4 snRNA) is a component of the major U2-dependent spliceosome. Lineage: Eukaryota; Metazoa; Chordata; Mammalia; Carnivora; Herpestidae. The record is from Rfam by way of RNAcentral.
AGCUUGGCACAGUGGCAGAAUCAUAGACAAUGGGGUUUAUCUGAGGCAUGAUUAUUGCUAAUUGAAAACUUUUCCCAAUUACCCCAUGAUGACGACUUGGAAAGUGGCCCUAGGGGAAAAAUAAUGAAUUUAGAAACCAAAAGUCUUUUU